This 297-nucleotide long non-coding RNA is filed under the name Homo sapiens (human). RNAcentral describes it as "non-protein coding lnc-JMJD1C-9:1". Lineage: Eukaryota; Metazoa; Chordata; Mammalia; Primates; Hominidae. The record is from RNAcentral.
ACAACAUGGUGAAACCCCAUCUCUACUAAAAAUACAAAAUUAGCUGGGCAUAGUGGUGUAGUCUCAGCUAUUCGGGAGGCUGAAGUGGGAGAAUCACUUGAGCCUGGGAGGUGGAGACUGCGGUGAGCCAAGAUCAUGCCACUGCACUCCAGCCUGGGUGACAGAGUGAGACUCUGUCUCAAAAACAAACAAAGAAACAAAGAAACAGACAAACAAAACUUUGUAGACCAAAGCUACAGUAAUCAAAACUUACUACAAAGCUACUGUAAUCAAAACUGUGGAACUGUCAUAAAGUCA